UACGUAGGUGGCGAGCGUUGUCCGGAUUUACUGGGCGUAAAGGGAGCGUAGGCGGACUUUUAAGUGAGAUGUGAAAUACCCGGGCUUAACUUGGGUGCUGCAUUUCAAACUGGAAGUCUAGAGUGCAGGAGAGGAGAAUGGAAUUCCUAGUGUAGCGGUGAAAUGCGUAGAGAUUAGGAAGAACACCAGUGGCGAAGGCGAUUCUCUGGACUGUAACUGACGCUGAGGCUCGAAAGCGUGGGGAGCAAACAGGAUUAGAUACCCUCGGUA
This 270-nucleotide ribosomal RNA is filed under the name uncultured prokaryote. RNAcentral describes it as "partial 16S ribosomal RNA". It matches the Rfam family "Bacterial small subunit ribosomal RNA", at positions 524 to 792 of the family's 1533-position model. The record is from RNAcentral.